Molecule: long non-coding RNA, 262 nt
Filed under: Homo sapiens (human)
Lineage: Eukaryota; Metazoa; Chordata; Mammalia; Primates; Hominidae
Description: non-protein coding lnc-DMRTA2-11:1
Source: RNAcentral
UCCUGUCUGUCAUGGUGGCCAACAUGAGAAUGCAGAGCACCAUUGUCAUCCACCAGGACUAUCUCCACUACAUCCACAAGUACAAUCCUACAAGAAGCACCCCAAGAACAUGUCUGCACACCUGUCCCUCUGUUUCAAGGACAUCCAGGUCAGCAACAUCAUCAUGGUGGACAAGUGCUAGCCCUUGAGGAAGAUAGUGCACUUCAACAUGCUCAAUGUCACCAAGGCCACCACCAUCAAGAAUCAAUUUCAGAAGUUCUGA